AUACGGAGGAUGCGAGCGUUAUCCGGAUUUAUUGGGUUUAAAGGGAGCGUAGGCGGGAGCUUAAGUCAGCGGUUAAAUGGUGCGGCUCAACCGUGCCCUGCCGUUGAAACUGGGUUUCUUGAGAGUGCAAGAGGCGGAUGGCAUUCAUGGGGUAGCGGUGAAAUGCUUAGAUAUCAUGAAGAACUCCGAUUCAGAAGGCAGUACGCUGGGGCACGGCUGACGAUUAUGCUCGAAUGUGCGCGAAUCAAACAGGAUUAGAUGCCCUGGUAGUCCGCAGGGUAAGCGAUGAAUACCCGAUGUCGGCGGCAGACAGUCGGCGGCCAAGCGAAAGCGAUAAGUAAUACACCUGGGGAGUACGCCGGCAACGGUGAAACUCACAGGAAUUGACGGGG
RNAcentral lists this ribosomal RNA (392 nucleotides) under uncultured bacterium. RNAcentral describes it as "partial 16S ribosomal RNA". It matches the Rfam family "Bacterial small subunit ribosomal RNA", at positions 523 to 918 of the family's 1533-position model. The record is from RNAcentral.